Molecule: ribosomal RNA, 998 nt
Filed under: uncultured bacterium
Lineage: Bacteria
Description: bacterial SSU rRNA
Rfam family: Bacterial small subunit ribosomal RNA
Source: RNAcentral
ACAUGCAAGUCGAACGGAAAUUAGCCUCGGUUAAUUUUAGUGGCGGACGGGUGAGUAACACGUGAGAAUUUGCCUUUAGGAGGGGGAUAACUAGUGGAAACACUAGCUAAAACCCCAUAUGCCCACGGGUGAAACAGAGGAAUAGGGUUAAACCAUAACUCCUCUGCCAGAAGAGAAGCUCGCGGCUGAUUAGCUAGUUGGUAGGGUAAUGGCCUACCAAGGCGACGAUCAGUAGCUGGUCUGAGAGGACGAUCAGCCACACUGGAACUGAGACACGGUCCAGACUCCUACGGGAGGCAGCAGUGAGGAAUUUUCUGCAAUGGGCGAAAGCCUGACAGAGCAAUACCGCGUGAGGGAAGAAGGCUUACUGAGUUGUAAACCUCGGUGCCUUAAGGAAGAAGAUCUGACGGUACUUAAGGUGGAAAGCAUCGGCUGACCCCGUGCCAGCAGCCGCGGUAAGACGGGGGAUGCAAGUGUUAUCCGGAAUUACUGGGCGUAAAGCGUCUGUAGGUGGUUUCUUAAGUCCACUGUUAAACCUUGAGGCUCAACCUCAAAUCUGCAGUGGAAACUAGGGAACUUGAGGAUAGUAGGGGUAGAGGGAAUUUCCAGUGGAGCGGUGAAAUGCGUAGAUAUUGGAAAGAACACCGAUGGCGAAGGCACUCUACUGGGCUAUGACUGACACUCAGAGACGAAAGCUAGGGGAGCAAAUGGGAUUAGAUACCCCAGUAGUCCUAGCCGUAAACGAUGGAUACUCGAUGUUGGACGUAUCGACCCGUUCAGUAUCUUAGCUAACGCGUUAAGUAUCCCGCCUAGGGAGUACGCUCGCAAGAGUGAAACUCAAAGGGAAUUGACGGGGGGCCCGCACAAGCGGUGGGAGGAUGUGGUUUAAUUUCGAUGCAACGCGAAGAACCUUACCAGGGUUUGCUAAAAGUGUUGGGUUUUCUGAAAAGAAUUCCUUAUUCCGCUUUUACAGGUGGUGCAUGGCUGUCGUCAGCUCG